This 465-nucleotide ribosomal RNA is filed under the name uncultured bacterium. RNAcentral's name for it is "bacterial SSU rRNA". It matches the Rfam family "Bacterial small subunit ribosomal RNA", at positions 64 to 507 of the family's 1533-position model. The record is from RNAcentral.
GAAGAGAUGAGAAGCUUGGCUUCUUAUCAAUUCGAGUGGCAAAACGGGUGAGUAACGCGUUAAAGCAACCUGCCCUUCAGAUGGGGACAACAGCUGGAAACGGCUGCUAAUACCGAAUACGUCUUUUUGUCGCAUGAUCAGCUUUUGAAAGGCGGCGUAAGCUGUCGCUAAGGGAUGGCCCCGCGGUGCAUUAGCUAGUUGGUAAGGUAACGGCUUACCAAGGCGACGAUGCAUAGCCGGCCUGAGAGGGCGGACGGCCACAUUGGGACUGAGACACGGGCCCAAACUCCUACGGGAGGCAGCAGUAGGGAAUUUUCGUCAAUGGGGGGAACCCUGAACGAGCAAUGCCGCGUGAGUGAGGAAGGUCUUCGGAUCGUAAAGCUCUGUUGUAAGAGAAAAACGGCACUCAUAGGGAAUGAUGAGUGAGUGAUGGUAUCUUACCAGAAAGUCACGGCUAACUACGUG